GCAACAGCAGAGCGGGGAAAAAUUGCUUGGGUGAUAUUCUUUCUAUAGGUGAAAACGCCCCUAUGUAAAGCAAGGCCAAAGUACUAAGAAGUGUUUCAUGGAGCCAGCCACUGUCCAAGUUCCUUAUUCAGGGAGAAGAAGCUGAAUCAGCCGUUGUACAUACCCUGCUGCUAGUCUGCCUCUGCAGCCUGGAAAGGACCCCUCCUGCUACCAAGAAAACCCAAAUACUGUGCCCUUGACUUGGUAACAGAAAAAAAAUAGUGUCAGACACCCCUCAUUAGAAGAGUCUAUCAUUAUCUCUGACUAAAGGAACCUGCCUCCAGCUUCAUGAAUCUGUUGGUUCAAGACAAAAAAGGAUGAGUCUUGUGUUUGCUGUGCCAUACUCUGCAUUCUCCUUCUUUUCUUUAUAUCCAUGACAAUUCAUCUGGGACUGUUCCUGUUCCCUUUAGUGGCUGCAGACGAAUUCUGAAGUUACCUUUUUCCACUAGAUAUCCACCAAGUUCUGAGACAGGAACUCCUGCGGCUGAGCUGUGGGUAAACUGCAUUGAUUGCAACUUCUGUAAUCCGACUUGGUCCACCCCUGUCAUCUUGAUAAGUCAAACUCCUUUUGCCACUUCUUUUGUUGAUGUUACGAGCCUGGUUUUUUAAAGUUGUGGGGGAAAAAAAAGGUACUAUUUUUCAGCCUGUGAAUGACAGAUUUUUCACAGGGAUUUGCCUUUAACUUCUUUCAUGCUCUCCUGAAAUUAAUUUUUCUCAGUCUGAUGUUUCUAAAUUGCCUCUCUUCUAGUUCUUACAUUGUGCUUCUCUUUUGCUGAUGUGCUGAAGUGCACAAUUUGAACUUUUUUGUUUUGGUUUUGUUUUUCAAAACUUCAAGGAAAAGAAUAAUCUCCUCUAGUUGUCGAAGUUUACAUCAGGAGGAAGCAAACUGUACCCUAGGUCUGCUCCAUUCAUUAUAACCUUGGCAUUUUGAAUAUUAAAACCAAGAUAAGUAAAUUGACCAUAGUAUUUUUGACAUAACAUUAACGUAAGAGUGAAGAAGGUUAUUCCUCAGGUUUGUUCUACAGAUUUAUGUUUCAGGAAUUUGCAAUGGGUUCAUGUUGAUUUUACCCGAAAGUCUCCACAGAAAUCUUU
Long non-coding RNA from Calidris pugnax (ruff), 1131 nucleotides. RefSeq lists it as uncharacterized. The record is from RefSeq and is a predicted model, not a curated record. The transcript has 6 exons. Lineage: Eukaryota; Metazoa; Chordata; Aves; Charadriiformes; Scolopacidae.